This is a non-coding RNA of Potamilus streckersoni, 80 nucleotides long. NCBI's taxonomy places the organism in Eukaryota, Metazoa, Mollusca, Bivalvia, Unionida, Unionidae. The record is from the annotation of a GenBank genome assembly.
GCUCCGGUGGUCUAGUGGUUAUAGCGUUCGCAUUAAAUGCGGGAUGCGGAAGGUCGUGGGUCCGAGCCCCGGCUGAGACA